UGACAGUACUCCUACGGGGAGGCAGCAGUGGGGGAAUAUUGCACAAUGGGCGCAAGCCUGAUGCAGCCAUGCCGCGUGUGUGAAGAAGGCCUUCGGGUUGUAAAGCACUUUCAGUCGUGAGGAAGGUAGUGUAGUUAAUAGCUGCAGUAUUUGACGUUAGCGACGGAAGAAGCACCGGCUAACUCCGUGCCAGCAGCCGCGGUAAUACGGAGGGUGCGAGCGUUAAUCGGAAUUACUGGGCGUAAAGCGCAUGCAGGUGGUUUGUUAAGUCAGAUGUGAAAGCCCGGGGCUCAACCUCGGAAUAGCAUUUGAAACUGGCAGACUAGAGUACUGUAGAGGGGGGUAGGAAUUUCAGGUGUAGCGGUGAAAUGCGUAGAGAUCUGAAGGAAUACCGGUGGCGAAGGCGGCCCCCUGGACAGAUACUGACACUCAGAUGCGAAAGCGUGGGGAGCAAACAGGAUUAGAUACCCUGGUAG
RNAcentral lists this ribosomal RNA (476 nucleotides) under uncultured bacterium. RNAcentral describes it as "bacterial SSU rRNA". It matches the Rfam family "Bacterial small subunit ribosomal RNA", at positions 328 to 793 of the family's 1533-position model. The record is from RNAcentral.